AGAAUCAUUCACAAUGGGCGAAAGCCUGAUGGUGCGACGCCGCGUGGAGGAUGACAGCCCUAGGGUUGUAAACUCCUGUCAUGAGAGAGUAAAGACUUAACGUUAAUACCGUUGGGUCCUGAUAGUAUCUCAAGAGGAAGGGACGGCUAACUUCGUGCCAGCAGCCGCGGUAAUACGAAGGUCCCAAGCGUUGUUCGGAAUUACUGGGCGUAAAGCGUGCGUAGGUGGCAUGGUAAGUCAGAUGUGAAAUCCCGGGGCUCAACCCCGGAACUGCAUCCGAUACUGCCAAGCUAGAGUAGUGGAGGGGAGUCUGGAAUUCACGGUGUAGCAGUGAAAUGCGUAGAUAUCGUGAGGAACACUAGUGGCGAAGGCGAGACUCUGGACACUAACUGACACUGAGGCACGAAGGCUAGGGUAGCGAAAGGGAUUAGAUACCCCUGUAGUCCUAGCAGUAAACGGUGCGCGUUUGGUGUGGGCGGGUUCGACCCCGUCCGUGCCGAAGCUAACGCGUUAAACGCGCCGCCUGGGGAGUACGGCCGCAAGGCUAAAACUCAAAGAAAUUGACGGGGACCCGCACAAGCGGUGGAGUAUGUGGCUUAAUUCGAUGCAACGCGAAGAACCUUACCUAGGCUUGACAUGCUUGUCGUAGUUCUGUGAAAGCAGAUCGUCAGUUCGGCUGGACUUGCACAGGUGCUGCAUGGCUGUCGUCAGCUCGUGUCGUGAGAUGUUGGGUUAAGUCCCGCAACGAGCGCAACCCCUAUGAUUAGUUGCCAGCGAGUAAUGUCGGGGACUCUAGUCAGACUGCCUGUAUUAAACAGGAGGAAGGUGGGGACGACGUCAAGUCAGUAUGGCCCUUACGCCUAGGGCUGCACACGUACUACAAUGCCCAGUACAAUGUGAACCGAUACCGUAAGGUGGAGGAAAUCCUUAAAACUGGGCUCAGUUCGGAUUGUGGGCUGCAACUCGCCCACAUGAAGCUGGAAUCGCUAGUAAUGGCACAUCAGCUACGGUGCCGUGAAUACGUUCCCGGGUCUUGUACACACCGCCCGUCACAUCAUGGAAGCCGCUCGCACCCGAAGUACCUCUAUAGGGUCCUAAGGUGUAGGUGGUAACUGGGAUGAAGUCGUAACAAGGUAGCCGUAGGGGAACCUGCGGCUG
Molecule: ribosomal RNA, 1158 nt
Filed under: marine metagenome
Description: bacterial SSU rRNA
Rfam family: Bacterial small subunit ribosomal RNA
Source: RNAcentral